Molecule: long non-coding RNA, 430 nt
Filed under: Zostera marina
Lineage: Eukaryota; Viridiplantae; Streptophyta; Magnoliopsida; Alismatales; Zosteraceae
Description: long non-coding RNA (ZMAR_LNC004213)
Source: RNAcentral
CUGCAUCAUCCUUACAUCACAUUCAUCAUCUCAAAGCAAAGAUUAAUCGAUUCAUUAAAAUCAGUAUUCUCAAGUUAUCAUAAAAAAAAUCAGUUUAACUAUUCGAGCAAAACAAAUCAGCGUAAAUAAAUCAAGAUUUAUAAAUCGGUACCACUACCACCUUCCCGGAGAAUCUAGACCAGAAUUCACGGUUCUGGCGAGAUCAGAAUGGGUUCCGGUAAAAUCAAACUCAGAUCAUCCUCGUCUGUAUUUCCCCCUAACACCAUCGUAUGCAGAACGAAUCAACAACAGAUACUUAUUCAUUCCCAUCCUAAUACUCAUUUUCACAUACCUGGUUUGGUAAUCUCCUGACACAAAAUCCACACCACGGCGUUGGAUUUCCUCGACCAAACCCUCCUUCCGAUAUUCCCCCUCUUUGUUUCGUUCUUAA